GACGAACGCUGGCGGCGUGCUUAACACAUGCAAGUCGAACGGAAAGGCCCUGCUUUUGUGGGGUGCCCGAGUGGCGAACGGGUGAGUAACACGUGAGUAGCCUGCCCUUGACUUUGGGAUAACUUCAGGAAACUGGGGCUAAUACCGGAUAGGAGCUCCUGCUGCAUGGUGGGGGUUGGAAAGUUUCGGCGGUUGGGGAUGGACUCGCGGCUUAUCAGCUUGUUGGUGGGGUAGUGGCUUACCAAGGCUUUGACGGGUAGCCGGCCUGAGAGGGUGACCGGCCACAUUGGGACUGAGAUACGGCCCAGACUCCUACGGGAGGCAGCAGUGGGGAAUAUUGCACAAUGGGCGGAAGCCUGAUGCAGCAACGCCGCGUGCGGGAUGACGGCCUUCGGGUUGUAAACCGCUUUCGCCUGUGACGAAGCGUGAGUGACGGUAAUGGGUAAAGAAGCACCGGCUAACUACGUG
Molecule: ribosomal RNA, 468 nt
Filed under: uncultured bacterium
Lineage: Bacteria
Description: partial 16S ribosomal RNA
Rfam family: Bacterial small subunit ribosomal RNA
Source: RNAcentral